RNAcentral lists this ribosomal RNA (342 nucleotides) under Campylobacter jejuni. RNAcentral's name for it is "partial 23S ribosomal RNA". It matches the Rfam family "Bacterial large subunit ribosomal RNA", at positions 1397 to 1732 of the family's 2925-position model. Lineage: Bacteria; Pseudomonadati; Campylobacterota; Epsilonproteobacteria; Campylobacterales; Campylobacteraceae. The record is from RNAcentral.
CGAGUCCGAAAGGGGUAGACGAUGGCAAAUUGGUUAAUAUUCCAAUACCAACAUUAGUGUGCGAUGGAAGGACGCUUAGGGCUAAGGGGGCUAGCGGAUGGAAGUGCUAGUCUAAGGUCGUAGGAGGUUAUACAGGCAAAUCCGUAUAACAAUACUCCGAGAACUGAAAGGCUUUUUGAAGUCUUCGGAUGGAUAGAAGAACCCCUGAUGCCGUCGAGCCAAGAAAAGUUUCUAAGUUUAGCUAAUGUUGCCCGUACCGUAAACCGACACAGGUGGGUGGGAUGAGUAUUCUAAGGCGCGUGGAAGAACUCUCUUUAAGGAACUCUGCAAAAUAGCACCGUA